Molecule: ribosomal RNA, 436 nt
Filed under: uncultured bacterium
Lineage: Bacteria
Description: partial 16S ribosomal RNA
Rfam family: Bacterial small subunit ribosomal RNA
Source: RNAcentral
AACGAACGCUGGCGGCAUGCCUAACACAUGCAAGUCGAACGAGAUCCUUCGGGGUCUAGUGGCGCACGGGUGCGUAACGCGUGGGAAUCUGCCCUUAGGUUCGGAAUAACAUUUAGAAAUGACUGCUAAUACCGGAUGAUGACGUUAAGUCCAAAGAUUUAUCGCCUGAGGAUGAGCCCGCGUAGGAUUAGCUAGUUGGUGUGGUAAAUGCGCACCAAGGCGACGAUCCUUAGCUGGUCUGAGAGGAUGAUCAGCCACACUGGGACUGAGACACGGCCCAGACUGCUACGGGAGGCAGGAGUGGGGAAUAUUGGAGAAUGGGCGCAAGCCUGAGCCAGCAAUGGCGCGUGAGUGAUGAAGGCGUUAGGGUUGUAAAGCUCUUUUAACCGAGAUGAUAAUGACAGUAUCGGGAGAAUAAGCCCCGGCUAACUACGUG